This 253-nucleotide ribosomal RNA is filed under the name uncultured bacterium. Its description in RNAcentral is "partial 16S ribosomal RNA". It matches the Rfam family "Bacterial small subunit ribosomal RNA", at positions 524 to 776 of the family's 1533-position model. The record is from RNAcentral.
UACGAAGGGGGCAAGCGUUGUUCGGAAUUACUGGGCGUAAAGGGCGCGCAGGCGGCCAAUCAAGUCAGAUGUGAAAGCCCCGGGCUCAACCUGGGAAUUGCAUUUGGGACUGAUUGGCUAGAGAUCGGGAGAGGAGAGUGGAAUUCCCAGUGUAGAGGUGAAAUUCGUAGAUAUUCGCAAGAACACCAGUGGCGAAGGCGGCUCACUGGCCCGAUACUGACGCUGAGGCACGAAAGCGUGGGGAGCAAACAGG